CGGACGGGUGAGUAAUGUCUAGGGAAACUGCCGAUGGAGGGGGAUAACUACUGGAAACGGUAGCUAAUACCGCAUAACGUCGCAAGACCAAAGAGGGGGACCUUCGGGCCUCUUGCCAUCGGAUGUGCCCAGAUGGGAUUAGCUAGUAGGUGGGGUAACGGCUCACCUAGGCGACGAUCCCUGGCUGGUCUGAGAGGAUGACCAGCCACACUGGAACUGAGACACGGUCCAG
This 232-nucleotide ribosomal RNA is filed under the name uncultured bacterium. RNAcentral's name for it is "partial 16S ribosomal RNA". It matches the Rfam family "Bacterial small subunit ribosomal RNA", at positions 99 to 334 of the family's 1533-position model. The record is from RNAcentral.